Bombyx mori (domestic silkworm) is the source of this 782-nucleotide long non-coding RNA. RefSeq lists it as uncharacterized. The record is from RefSeq and is a predicted model, not a curated record. NCBI's taxonomy places the organism in Eukaryota, Metazoa, Arthropoda, Insecta, Lepidoptera, Bombycidae. The transcript has 2 exons.
UACCUCGAUGGAAGAUCUGAGCCACGAAGAAAUCGUCACAUCUUACGUUCUGGCUCAUGUUGCCCAGUUGACUCUCGACUUAUCACAUGGCAUUUACUAGCGGAAAUACAACACGUAACAAGCUAUUGCAAGAAAUUAAGGCAAGUGCAAAUCUCAAGUGAAACUUCGAUCGCAAUAAUGGAUCUGUCAUGACGAGUGGGUAGUUCCGACACGAAUCGUUUUUAAGCCAAUGACUACUGCUAGAGUUACAUGGCACUAGUACAGUAAACCAGGACAUGAGACUGUGAAUUGUCGCUGAAAUUUUAGAAUCUACUCGAUUCAAUACCAAUAACACUACACGUUCGAUGACUUCGGGCUCCAGCAAGCAAGCAAACAAGAAAGCAAGCAAAUUUCCGUGGGGAAGAAAAAUUGACACAUCUGAAGUCGUCGUGACCUGUAAGAUAAGACGUCCGGUGCGUUCGUGUCGGGCGAUGCGGCGGUGUUCGGGUUCCGCUGGCGGAUGCAGGUUUUUCCGGUGAAGUGCGUGCUUGUGCGUGCUUGACAAGUGUUCGCGGUUGGCUUCCUCAGUGUGGGAGUAACAUCGUGUAGCCGGAGGUGAGACUUCCGCGGUCGCGGCCCACCCAGUCCGCGAGAACCGGGCAGAUCGCCUCGACGGUACGGAGGCCGGCCGACGGGUCCGCCAAACGACGAGACCUCGCCUCCAGCACGGACUGCCGAUAUUGGAGCCCCCGCGCUCCGGAUGCACUUGCGCUAGGGCGCGCCGCCUCGUAGGAGACUGUGAG